This 448-nucleotide ribosomal RNA is filed under the name uncultured bacterium. Its description in RNAcentral is "bacterial SSU rRNA". It matches the Rfam family "Bacterial small subunit ribosomal RNA", at positions 355 to 796 of the family's 1533-position model. The record is from RNAcentral.
UGGGGAAUAUUGGACAAUGGGCGAAAGCCUGAUCCAGCAAUACCGCGUGUGUGAAGAAGGCCUUCGGGUUGUAAAGCACUUUAAGCAGGGAAGAAAAAAUUCAAGCUAACAUCUUGAGUCUUGACGGUACCUGAAGAAUAAGCACCGGCUAACUCUGUGCCAGCAGCCGCGGUAAUACAGAGGGUGCAAGCGUUAAUCGGAUUUACUGGGCGUAAAGCGUGUGUAGGUGGUUGGGAAAGUCAAUUGUGAAAGCCCAGGGCUUAACUCUGGAACUGCUUUUGAUACUGUCUGACUAGAAUUCGGUAGAGGGAGGCGGAACUCCAGGUGUAGCGGUGAAAUGCGUAGAUAUCUGGAAGAACACCAAUGGCGAAGGCAACCUCCUGGGCCUGAAUUGACACUGAGACACGAAAGCGUGGGGAUCAAACAGGAUUAGAUACCCCGGUAGUCC